Long non-coding RNA from Perognathus longimembris pacificus (Pacific pocket mouse), 170 nucleotides. RefSeq lists it as uncharacterized. Lineage: Eukaryota; Metazoa; Chordata; Mammalia; Rodentia; Heteromyidae. The transcript has 3 exons. The record is from RefSeq and is a predicted model, not a curated record.
GAAGGAGGGAGAGAGGGAGGAAGGAAGGAAGGAAGGAAGGAAAAAAGGGAAAAAAUGACCAGCAUCUUCAACUGGUUAGAACACAACUUGCAUAAAGGGUUUAUAACUGAAUAUUUCCACAAACUACCCUGAAGUCUUCAUAAUGGCUUUCAAAUGCUCAGUUUCAGAAA